This 441-nucleotide ribosomal RNA is filed under the name uncultured bacterium. RNAcentral describes it as "partial 16S ribosomal RNA". It matches the Rfam family "Bacterial small subunit ribosomal RNA", at positions 339 to 795 of the family's 1533-position model. The record is from RNAcentral.
CUACGGGCUGCACCAGUGAGGAAUCUUCCGCAAUGGGCGAAAGCCUGACGGAGCGACACCGCGUGGAGGACGAAGGCCUUUUGGUUGUAAACUCCUGUUCUGGGGGAAUAAAUGAUGAAGGUACCCCAGGAGAAAGCACCGGCUAACUACGUGCCAGCAGCCGCGGUAAUACGUAGGGUGCAAGCGUUAUCCGGAAUCAUUGGGCGUAAAGCGUUCGUAGGUGGUUAAGUAAGUUUGUGGUUAAAUCUGGUCGCUCAACGAUCAGUUUGUCACGAAAACUGCUUAACUAGAGAUUGGCAGAGGCAACUGGAAUUCCACAUGUAGGGGUAAAAUCCGUUGAUAUGUGGAGGAACACCAAAAGCGAAGGCAGGUUGCUGGGCCAUUUCUGACGCUGAGGAACGAAAGCGUGGGGAGCAAACAGGAUUAGAUACCUCAGUAGUC